This 66-nucleotide transfer RNA is filed under the name Gekko vittatus (white-lined gecko). RNAcentral describes it as "tRNA-Asp". The record is from RNAcentral. Lineage: Eukaryota; Metazoa; Chordata; Lepidosauria; Squamata; Gekkonidae.
GUGGCCCUAGUAAAUCAUUAUAUAGCCCUGUCAGUGCUAAGUUAUAGGUUAAUCCUUUGAGCCAUA